This 467-nucleotide ribosomal RNA is filed under the name uncultured bacterium. Its description in RNAcentral is "partial 16S ribosomal RNA". It matches the Rfam family "Bacterial small subunit ribosomal RNA", at positions 28 to 507 of the family's 1533-position model. The record is from RNAcentral.
GACGAACGCUGGCGGCGUGCUUAACACAUGCAAGUCGAACGGAAAGGCCCUGCUUUUGUGGGGUGCUCGAGUGGCGAACGGGUGAGUAACACGUGAGUAACCUGCCCUUGACUUUGGGAUAACUUCAGGAAACUGGGGCUAAUACCGGAUAGGAGCUCCUGCUGCAUGGUGGGGGUUGGAAAGUUUCGGCGGUUGGGGAUGGACUCGCGGCUUAUCAGCUUGUUGGUGGGGUAGUGGCUUACCAAGGCUUUGACGGGUAGCCGGCCUGAGAGGGUGACCGGCAACAUGGGAACUGAGAUACGGCCCAGACUCCACGGGAGGCAGCAGUGGGGAAUAUUGCACAAUGGGCGGAAGCCUGAUGCAGCAACGCCGCGUGCGGGAUGACGGCCUUCGGGUUGUAAACCGCUUUCGCCUGUGACGAAGCGUGAGUGACGGUAAUGGGUAAAGAAGCACCGGCUAACUACGUG